AUUGAACGCUGGCGGAAUGCUUUACACAUGCAAGUCGAACGGUAGAGGGGGCAACCCCUCGAGAGUGGCGAACGGGUGAGUAAUAUAUCGGAACGUGCCCAGUCGUGGGGGAUAACGUAGCGAAAGUUACGCUAAUACCGCAUACGAUCUAAGGAUGAAAGCGGGGGAUCGCAAGACCUCGCGCGAUUGGAGCGGCCGAUAUCAGAUUAGGUAGUUGGUGGGGUAAAGGCUCACCAAGCCAACGAUCUGUAGCUGGUCUGAGAGGACGACCAGCCACACUGGAACUGAGACACGGUCCAGACUCCUACGGGAGGCAGCAGUGGGGAAUUUUGGACAAUGGACGCAAGUCUGAUCCAGCCAUUCCGGGUGCAGGAUGAAGGCCCUCGGGUUGUAAACUGCUUUUGUACGGAACGAAAAGGUCUCUCUUAAUACGGGGGACUCAUGACGGUGCCGUAAGAAUAAGCACCGGCUAACUACGUGCCAGCCGCCGCCGUAA
Molecule: ribosomal RNA, 496 nt
Filed under: uncultured bacterium
Lineage: Bacteria
Description: partial 16S ribosomal RNA
Rfam family: Bacterial small subunit ribosomal RNA
Source: RNAcentral